CACGUAGGGCGCAAGCGUUGUCCGGAAUUAUUGGGCGUAAAGAGCUCGUAGGCGGACUGUCACGUCUGCUGUGAAAAGCUGGGGCUUAACCCUGGCCUUGCAGUGGAUACGGGCAGACUAGAGGUAGGUAGGGGAGAAUGGAAUUCCCGGUGUAGCGGUGAAAUGCGCAGAUAUCGGGAGGAACACCGGUGGCGAAGGCGGUUCUCUGGAACGGUACUGACGCUGAGACGCGAAAGCGUGGGGAGCGAACAGG
This 253-nucleotide ribosomal RNA is filed under the name uncultured bacterium. RNAcentral's name for it is "partial 16S ribosomal RNA". It matches the Rfam family "Bacterial small subunit ribosomal RNA", at positions 524 to 776 of the family's 1533-position model. The record is from RNAcentral.